AAAUGUAAAAGUUCUUUUAGAAUUUGUCUAGCAGGUUUUCAGGCAUUAUCAAAAGAUCCCA
RNAcentral lists this small nuclear RNA (61 nucleotides) under Suricata suricatta (meerkat). RNAcentral describes it as "U7 small nuclear RNA (ENSSSUG00005013064.1)". It matches the Rfam family "U7 small nuclear RNA". From Rfam's summary of the family: Animal histone pre-mRNAs are spliced by a different mechanism than nuclear pre-mRNAs and self-splicing introns. Lineage: Eukaryota; Metazoa; Chordata; Mammalia; Carnivora; Herpestidae. The record is from Rfam by way of RNAcentral.